GGCAUUUUCGUGAUUUGUGCU
This 21-nucleotide small nuclear RNA is filed under the name Arabidopsis thaliana (thale cress). Its description in RNAcentral is "snRNA_02581". Lineage: Eukaryota; Viridiplantae; Streptophyta; Magnoliopsida; Brassicales; Brassicaceae. The record is from RNAcentral.